UGAUCAGCAUGCGCGUGUGUGAAGAAGGCUUUUGGUUGUAAAGCACUUUAAGCGAGGAGGAGGCUACCGAGAUUAAUACUCUUGGAUAGUGGACGUUACUCGCAGAAUAAGCACCGGCUAACUCUGUGCCAGCAGCCGCGGUAAUACAGAGGGUGCAAGCGUUAAUCGGAUUUACUGGGCGUAAAGCGCGCGUAGGUGGCCAAUUAAGUCAAAUGUGAAAUCCCCGAGCUUAACUUGGGAAUUGCAUUCGAUACUGGUUGGCUAGAGUAUGGGAGAGGAUGGUAGAAUUCCAGGUGUAGCGGUGAAAUGCGUAGAGAUCUGGAGGAAUACCGAUGGCGAAGGCAGCCAUCUGGCCUAAUACUGACACUGAGGUGCGAAAGCAUGGGGAGCAAACAGGAUUAGAUACCCGCG
This 411-nucleotide ribosomal RNA is filed under the name Enterobacteriaceae bacterium. RNAcentral describes it as "bacterial SSU rRNA". It matches the Rfam family "Bacterial small subunit ribosomal RNA", at positions 384 to 790 of the family's 1533-position model. The record is from RNAcentral. Lineage: Bacteria; Pseudomonadati; Pseudomonadota; Gammaproteobacteria; Enterobacterales; Enterobacteriaceae.